CCUACGUGAUUCAGCAGUGAUUACUAUUGGUCAAUUGACGAGAUUCUUAACCAGCCAAGUCGCGUGAAGGAUGACUGCCCUAUGGGUUGUAAACUUCUUUUAUAAAGGAAUAAAACGAGGCACGUGUGCCUUUUUGCAUGUACUUUAUGAAUAAGGAUCGGCUAACUCCGUGCCAGCAGCCGCGGUAAUACGGAGGAUGCGAGCGUUAUCCGGAUUUAUGGGGUUUAAAGGGUGCGCAGGCGGAAGAUCAAGGCAGCGGUAAAAUUGAGAGGCUCAACCUCUUCGAGCCGUUGAAACUGGUUGUCUUGAGUGAGCGAGAAGUAUGCGGAAUGCGUGGUGUAGCGGUGAAAUGCAUAGAUAUCACGCAGAACUCCGAUUGCGAAGGCAGCAUACCGGCGCUCAACUGACGCUCAUGCACGAAAGUGUGGGUAUCGAACAGGAUUAGAUACCCGAGUAGGC
This 459-nucleotide ribosomal RNA is filed under the name uncultured bacterium. RNAcentral describes it as "partial 16S ribosomal RNA". It matches the Rfam family "Bacterial small subunit ribosomal RNA", at positions 338 to 795 of the family's 1533-position model. The record is from RNAcentral.